GUGGGGAAUAUUGCGCAAUGGGCGAAAGCCUGACGCAGCGACGCCGCGUGAGGGAUGAAGGUUUUCGGAUCGUAAACCUCUGUCAGAAGGGAAGAAACUACGUUGUGCUAAUCAGCAGCGUACUGACGGUACCUUCAAAGGAAGCACCGGCUAACUCCGUGCCAGCAGCCGCGGUAAUACGGAGGGUGCAAGCGUUAAUCGGAAUUACUGGGCGUAAAGCGCACGUAGGCUGUAGUGUAAGUCAGGGGUGAAAUCCCACGGCUCAACCGUGGAACUGCCUUUGAUACUGCACAACUUGAAUCCGGGAGAGGGUGGCGGAAUUCCAGGUGUAGGAGUGAAAUCCGUAGAUAUCCGGAGGAACACCGGUGGCGAAGGCGGCCACCUGGACAGGUACUGACGCUGAGGCGCGAAAGCGUGGGGAGCAAACAGGAUUAGAUACCCGUGUAGUCC
This 450-nucleotide ribosomal RNA is filed under the name uncultured bacterium. RNAcentral's name for it is "partial 16S ribosomal RNA". It matches the Rfam family "Bacterial small subunit ribosomal RNA", at positions 354 to 796 of the family's 1533-position model. The record is from RNAcentral.